Molecule: non-coding RNA, 75 nt
Organism: Potamilus streckersoni
Lineage: Eukaryota; Metazoa; Mollusca; Bivalvia; Unionida; Unionidae
Source: the annotation of a GenBank genome assembly
GCUGUGGUGGCCUAGUGAUUAGAGCGUCCGUCUCGGAUGCGGGAUAUCGUUGGUUCUAUCCCAAGUCUUACAACA